AGUGAACGCUGGCGGCAGGCCUAACACAUGCAAGUCGAACGGCAGCACAGGAGAGCUUGCUCUCUGGGUGGCGAGUGGCGGACGGGUGAGGAUAGCGUCGGAAUCUGCCUUUUUGUGGGGGAUAACGUAGGGAAACUUACGCUAAUACCGCAUACGACCUACGGGUGAAAGUGGGGGACCUUCGGGCCACACGCAGAAAGAUGAGCCGACGUCGGAUUAGCUAGUUGGUGGGGUAAAGGCCCACCAAGGCGACGAUCCGUAGCUGGUCUGAGAGGAUGAUCAGCCACACUGGGACUGAGACACGGCCCAGACUCCUACGGGAGGCAGCAGUGGGGAAUAUUGGACAAUGGGCGCAAGCCUGAUCCAGCCAUGCCGCGUGUGUGAAGAAGGCCUUCGGGUUGUAAAGCACUUUUGUACGGGAAGAAAAGCGCCGAUUUAAUACAUGGGCGUCAUGACGGUACCGUAAGAAUAAGCACCGGCUAACUUCGUGCCAGCAGCCGCGGUAAUACGAAGGGUGCAAGCGUUACUCGGAAUUACUGGGCGUAAAGCGUGCGUAGGUGGUUUGUUAAGUCUGAUGUGAAAGCCCUGGGCUCAACCUGGGAACUGCAUUGGAUACUGG
Molecule: ribosomal RNA, 619 nt
Filed under: uncultured bacterium
Lineage: Bacteria
Description: bacterial SSU rRNA
Rfam family: Bacterial small subunit ribosomal RNA
Source: RNAcentral